Molecule: regulatory RNA element, 183 nt
Organism: Carnobacterium maltaromaticum LMA28
Lineage: Bacteria; Bacillati; Bacillota; Bacilli; Lactobacillales; Carnobacteriaceae
Rfam family: Lysine riboswitch aptamer
About the family: Riboswitches are metabolite binding domains within certain messenger RNAs that serve as precision sensors for their corresponding targets. Allosteric rearrangement of mRNA structure is mediated by ligand binding, and this results in modulation of gene expression.
Source: Rfam
UUGUGAGGUAGAGGCGCACUUAUUUAUUAGUCCUAUGUUGAGUUUGAGGAAACGAUGAAACUGGGAGAAGGAAAUAGUGCCGAAAUGAAUAAUAACCUCAUUAUUAUUUGUUGGGUCUGUAGCGAAUAACUGCAGAACUGUCUUAAUAAGCUACCCAGUUUAUUAAGUUGUGCUAUCUCGAAU